AGGCAAGAAUUUUAAUUUGCAAUUAAUAUUAGCUAUAUUUAUAGCCUUGUCUA
RNAcentral lists this transfer RNA (53 nucleotides) under Tanystylum orbiculare. RNAcentral's name for it is "tRNA-Ala". The record is from RNAcentral. Lineage: Eukaryota; Metazoa; Arthropoda; Pycnogonida; Pantopoda; Tanystylidae.